This is a non-coding RNA of Delphinapterus leucas (beluga whale), 1340 nucleotides long. NCBI's taxonomy places the organism in Eukaryota, Metazoa, Chordata, Mammalia, Artiodactyla, Monodontidae. The record is from RefSeq and is a predicted model, not a curated record.
UGUCCUGAUCUCUCAGUCCACAAACAGUGAUUUUCUUCCCUAAGAAUCGGACGUGGGUUCUGCCCAUUGUGUCUACCUGGCUGUGCAGCCUGGCAGGAAGCAGGUGGCCCAAGGUGGGACCUGGCUGCCGUGGGUCCCCAUCCCAGUGCCACCCUGUCCCCUGGACGAGAAGCCUGGCAGUGGCCCCCAAGGUACCGGGAAGGAGGUAGAGCGGUGGUCUGGUUCCCCAAGGGCACCUGGGCAGUGCCAUCUUCCACCUGGUGUGACACGAUGGAGUGGCCUGGGCCCUCAGGAGUCUCGGGGCCCGGGUGACAGCACAGGGCCCCCGGGGACGCUGGGAGCGCGGGCUUCCUCUUCCUCACGGGUUGUUUGCACUGGCUCCGGAAACGCCGGCUGAAAGCUGGGACUUUGCGUCAUUUUUUACUAUUUGAACGGCCUCUUUGGGCUGCUUUUAGGAAGGUGGUUCUUUUGUCCCUUUUCUCACUCAGGAUGUUGUUGCCGGUAGAUUUCCUCACAGACGCUGUCUGCUGCCUUUGUUUUCCUUUCCAGAUGCAUAUGGAGAAAUCUUCCAGAACUGAGACCCCCGUCAGCAAAUUGCACCUGUGGUGCAAGUUUGCACGUUUUUCUGUAACAGACCUGAGAGUAGAGGCAGGUGAUGUGAUCCGAGGUGCAAGCUCAGUCCUGCCUCCAAACCAGAAGAGUUGAUUAGGACGCAGACGCACACGGAGGGAAGACCACCUGAGGACACAGGAAGAAGACAGCAUCUCCAAGCCAAGCAGGGAGGCCUCCAAAGAAACCAUUCCUGCCGACACCCUGACGUUGGACUUCCAGCCUCCGAACGGUGAGAAAAUAAAUUCUGUUGUUUAAGCCUCCAGCCCUUGGUCCUCUGUGAUGGCUGCCCACGUGAACUGACCACAGGUCCUUAACUGGAAUAUCAGUGUCACCGUUGUUCAUGGUCUGAAUCUCCACCCUGAGGUCCUUACCAUCUAAGCACGCUGCUGAGAGAGCUCGUCUGAGCAGGACACGGCCCCGGCCCCCUUCCCACUCCUGGAGCCCCUCAUCUUCCCAGGGGCCCUGCUCUCCUGCUUCCCAGGACUGUCUCUCCCAGGUGAUGGCUCUCGACGCCCCUGGAGGGAACUUGCUCCUUCCCCCUUCGGGAGCCUCACUCCGCCGUUUCCCGCUCAAGAUGUCCCGCUCGAGGGCACAUCUGCCCUUCAAUGAGGUGGAUUUAAAACUCUCCAAAUACCAACAGGAGACUGUGUUCGAGCCUGCUCCACUGGGAUCACCAACACGAUGGUCUCUUAGGUUCCCUGACCAGAGAUUGAACUCGGGCCCCGGCA